This 978-nucleotide ribosomal RNA is filed under the name Staphylococcus aureus. RNAcentral's name for it is "partial 23S ribosomal RNA". It matches the Rfam family "Bacterial large subunit ribosomal RNA", at positions 475 to 1461 of the family's 2925-position model. Lineage: Bacteria; Bacillati; Bacillota; Bacilli; Caryophanales; Staphylococcaceae. The record is from RNAcentral.
CUCUAGUGACCGAUAGUGAACCAGUACCGUGAGGGAAAGGUGAAAAGCACCCCGGAAGGGGAGUGAAAUAGAACCUGAAACCGUGUGCUUACAAGUAGUCAGAGCCCGUUAAUGGGUGAUGGCGUGCCUUUUGUAGAAUGAACCGGCGAGUUACGAUUUGAUGCAAGGUUAAGCAGUAAAUGUGGAGCCGUAGCGAAAGCGAGUCUGAAUAGGGCGUUUAGUAUUUGGUCGUAGACCCGAAACCAGGUGAUCUACCCUUGGUCAGGUUGAAGUUCAGGUAACACUGAAUGGAGGACCGAACCGACUUACGUUGAAAAGUGAGCGGAUGAACUGAGGGUAGCGGAGAAAUUCCAAUCGAACCUGGAGAUAGCUGGUUCUCUCCGAAAUAGCUUUAGGGCUAGCCUCAAGUGAUGAUUAUUGGAGGUAGAGCACUGUUUGGACGAGGGGCCCCUCUCGGGUUACCGAAUUCAGACAAACUCCGAAUGCCAAUUAAUUUAACUUGGGAGUCAGAACAUGGGUGAUAAGGUCCGUGUUCGAAAGGGAAACAGCCCAGACCACCAGCUAAGGUCCCAAAAUAUAUGUUAAGUGGAAAAGGAUGUGGCGUUGCCCAGACAACUAGGAUGUUGGCUUAGAAGCAGCCAUCAUUUAAAGAGUGCGUAAUAGCUCACUAGUCGAGUGACACUGCGCCGAAAAUGUACCGGGGCUAAACAUAUUACCGAAGCUGUGGAUUGUCCUUUGGACAAUGGUAGGAGAGCGUUCUAAGGGCGUUGAAGCAUGAUCGUAAGGACAUGUGGAGCGCUUAGAAGUGAGAAUGCCGGUGUGAGUAGCGAAAGACGGGUGAGAAUCCCGUCCACCGAUUGACUAAGGUUUCCAGAGGAAGGCUCGUCCGCUCUGGGUUAGUCGGGUCCUAAGCUGAGGCCGACAGGCGUAGGCGAUGGAUAACAGGUUGAUAUUCCUGUACCACCUAUAAUCGUUUUA